GGGGGCGAUCUGGUAUCGACCGGGCAGAGGAGUCGCAAGUUGCGAGUUGAGGUUGCCGGGAGGCCUCACUAAACACCUGGCAUCAAUUUAACUGCGAACGAGAGCUACGCUCUCGCUGCCUAGUUACUAGGUAGCCUUCUCGCCUGCCUCGCCCGCGUGGCAGGACGGGGAGUCAACACGAGCGGGCUGGCCUCCGAAUUUCGCCCGUGGACGAGGAGGCGAGACCCAACAGGGGCUGGCGCCGACGGAUCCUGUCGAUCGGAGCCCGAGGCGCGAGAUCCAAACGACCGACUACACUCGUAGACGCUUGCGAUGAAUUGUCUCGGGACGGGGGUUCGAUUCCCCCCGCCUCCACCA
RNAcentral lists this transfer-messenger RNA (357 nucleotides) under Planctomycetota. RNAcentral describes it as "UBA8898 sp002402755 Standard tmRNA". It matches the Rfam family "transfer-messenger RNA". From Rfam's summary of the family: Bacterial tmRNA, also known as 10Sa RNA or SsrA, is named for its dual tRNA and mRNA-like properties. Its role is to liberate the mRNA from a stalled ribosome. Lineage: Bacteria; Pseudomonadati. The record is from RNAcentral. RNAcentral also lists the same sequence under 1 other name.